Molecule: transfer RNA, 77 nt
Filed under: Candidatus Cloacimonadota bacterium
Lineage: Bacteria; Pseudomonadati; Candidatus Cloacimonadota
Description: tRNA-Val
Rfam family: tRNA
About the family: Transfer RNA (tRNA) molecules are approximately 80 nucleotides in length. Their secondary structure includes four short double-helical elements and three loops (D, anti-codon, and T loops). Further hydrogen bonds mediate the characteristic L-shaped molecular structure. tRNAs have two regions of fundamental functional importance: the anti-codon, which is responsible for specific mRNA codon recognition, and the 3' end, to which the tRNAs corresponding amino acid is attached (by aminoacyl-tRNA synthetases). tRNAs cope with the degeneracy of the genetic code in two manners: having more than one tRNA (with a specific anti-codon) for a particular amino acid; and 'wobble' base-pairing, i.e. permitting non-standard base-pairing at the 3rd anti-codon position.
Source: RNAcentral
GGGUGAUUAGCUCAGUUGGUUAGAGCGCUACGUUGACAUCGUAGAGGUCAGAAGUUCAAAUCUUCCAUCACCCACCA